This 102-nucleotide small RNA is filed under the name Marmota monax (woodchuck). The record is from RNAcentral. Lineage: Eukaryota; Metazoa; Chordata; Mammalia; Rodentia; Sciuridae.
GCCAGGUACAGUGGCAUGUGCCUGUAACCCAGCUGCUAGGGAGGUUGAAUCAGGAGGAUUGCUUGAGCCCAGCUUGGACAUCACAGCGAGACCCAGUCUCUA